GAACGCUGGCGGCGUGCCUAAUACAUGCAAGUCGAGCGAACAGAUAAGGAGCUUGCUCCUUUGACGUUAGCGGCGGACGGGUGAGUAACACGUGGGUAACCUACCUAUAAGACUGGAAUAACUCCGGGAAACCGGGGCUAAUGCCGGAUAAUAUUCAGAACCGCAUGGUUCUAAAGUGAAAGAUGGUUUUGCUAUCACUUAUAGAUGGACCCGCGCCGUAUUAGCUAGUUGGUGGGGUAAUGGCUUACCAAGGCAACGAUACGUAGCCGACCUGAGAGGGUGAUCGGCCACACUGGAACUGAGACACGGUCCAGACUCCUACGGGAGGCAGCAGUAGGGAAUCUUCCGCAAUGGGCGAAAGCCUGACGGAGCAACGCCGCGUGAGUGAUGAAGGUCUUCGGAUCGUAAAACUCUGUUAUUAGGGAAGAACAAAUGUGUAAGUAACUGUGCACGUCUUGACGGUACCUAAUCAGAAAGCCACGGCUAACUACGUGCCAGCAGCCGCGGUAAUAC
RNAcentral lists this ribosomal RNA (513 nucleotides) under uncultured bacterium. RNAcentral's name for it is "bacterial SSU rRNA". It matches the Rfam family "Bacterial small subunit ribosomal RNA", at positions 31 to 526 of the family's 1533-position model. The record is from RNAcentral.